UAAACGCCAAUUUAUCUGGCCG
RNAcentral lists this non-coding RNA (22 nucleotides) under Arabidopsis thaliana (thale cress). Lineage: Eukaryota; Viridiplantae; Streptophyta; Magnoliopsida; Brassicales; Brassicaceae. The record is from RNAcentral.